CGGUGGUGUGUUAGUGUUUCGAUGGAGUUGGGAUUCUGUGGUGAUUGUAGGUUAGUGGGAGAAAAAUAAAGGGUAUGUUAGAUAUCUAUUUUUCUUCUUUUCCAAAUUUUAAUUAAUUUUUCCUCUUCUUCCAAAAAUUGAACGUCAAUUUCUGUUUCUCUUUUUUUUUCUGUCAAAUUCUUUUUUCUUGUUUUUUUUUUAUUUUUGUCUUCCUGUUAAUUUCGGUGUUUUUGGCUUAUUGCUUUCAUGCGUUGUGGUAAGCGGUGGUAAGGUUUUACUCGGGUUAAGAGGGGGUUUUCUUUUAGUUCUGUUUUAAAGAUAUUUUUUUGUUAGUUCAAUUUUUGGGUUUUGCCAGCAACGAAUCGCGAAGAUCGGGGCUCUCCUCUUGUGGAAUCGUAGUUGAAAAUGUUCAGAGUGUGAAUUGAACUAUUUUU
RNAcentral lists this long non-coding RNA (434 nucleotides) under Gossypium raimondii (Peruvian cotton). Its description in RNAcentral is "long non-coding RNA (GRAI_LNC002067)". Lineage: Eukaryota; Viridiplantae; Streptophyta; Magnoliopsida; Malvales; Malvaceae. The record is from RNAcentral.